AAGCUAUUCUGUCGUCGUCGAUCCUCAGAUUAAAUGCUCCUUCUGCGAAUCAUGAUGUUGCUUGUGAUCGUGGAGAAGAGGAACAACAAAUACCACAUGUUGGAGCAGUGGAGAUUGAAGUACCAAAUGAGGAUGUGGUUGAUAAAUAUGCUGAGAUGGCACCUAAAGUUGGAAUGACUUUUGAC
This is a long non-coding RNA of Panicum virgatum (switchgrass), 185 nucleotides long. RefSeq lists it as uncharacterized. The record is from RefSeq and is a predicted model, not a curated record. Lineage: Eukaryota; Viridiplantae; Streptophyta; Magnoliopsida; Poales; Poaceae. The transcript has 3 exons.